Non-coding RNA from Acanthosepion pharaonis, 108 nucleotides. Lineage: Eukaryota; Metazoa; Mollusca; Cephalopoda; Sepiida; Sepiidae. The record is from the annotation of a GenBank genome assembly.
UAUGGUCAAAUAACGCUAAAAACACCAGUUCUCGUUCGAUCACGAAAUUUCAUCAUCGUAGAGCCAGGUCAGUACUUUGAUGGGGGACCACUUGGGAACAUCUGGUAC